CAGUCGCCGCGGGAAUACGAAGGGUGCAAGCGUUAAUCGGAAUUACUGGGCGUAAAGCGUGCGUAGGCGGUUUGUUAAGUCUGUUGUGAAAUCCCCGGGCUCAACCUGGGAAUGGCAAUGGAUACUGGCAAGCUAGAGUGUGUCAGAGGAUGGUGGAAUUCCCGGUGUAGCGGUGAAAUGCGCAGAGAUCGGGAGGAACAUCAGUGGCGAAGGCGGCCAUCUGUGACAACACUGACGCUGAGGCACGAAAGCGUGGGGAGCAAACAGGAUUAGAUACCCGCGUAGUCCCUGUCUCUUAUAC
Molecule: ribosomal RNA, 301 nt
Filed under: uncultured bacterium
Lineage: Bacteria
Description: partial 16S ribosomal RNA
Rfam family: Bacterial small subunit ribosomal RNA
Source: RNAcentral